GGGAAUGUGGCUUAGUGGUAAAGUGCUUGCCUUACAUGCACGAAGGCCUGGGUUUCAUUCCUC
This 63-nucleotide transfer RNA is filed under the name Dipodomys ordii (Ord's kangaroo rat). It matches the Rfam family "tRNA". Rfam says of the family: Transfer RNA (tRNA) molecules are approximately 80 nucleotides in length. Their secondary structure includes four short double-helical elements and three loops (D, anti-codon, and T loops). Further hydrogen bonds mediate the characteristic L-shaped molecular structure. tRNAs have two regions of fundamental functional importance: the anti-codon, which is responsible for specific mRNA codon recognition, and the 3' end, to which the tRNAs corresponding amino acid is attached (by aminoacyl-tRNA synthetases). tRNAs cope with the degeneracy of the genetic code in two manners: having more than one tRNA (with a specific anti-codon) for a particular amino acid; and 'wobble' base-pairing, i.e. permitting non-standard base-pairing at the 3rd anti-codon position. Lineage: Eukaryota; Metazoa; Chordata; Mammalia; Rodentia; Heteromyidae. The record is from Rfam by way of RNAcentral.